ACAACUUCAAGUUCAACUCCUUCGAAUACAAAUAUACUUUAACAUCAUGUGGUUAGUAAGUAUUGAUCUUCCCACCAUGUGAUGCCACAAUUUCUAAAUGUCUACUCCAAUAUAGCCAACUAUAUAUCAUGUUUUAAUCAUAAGUCUUUAACGAUCUGUAAUAUAAUCCAUAGCUUAUGAUUCCACAAUCGAGUAAAAUUUGCAUUAGACAAUCACCAUAUACUUUAGAUUAUCCAACAUAUUAUCCAUAUAUUCCAUAGCUAAUAGAUCUCAAUAAGAAUAGAAUAUUUUAUUCGUGAAAUCCAAAAGUACAUUCGAAACUAAUCCAAAAAUUACUUUACUAAAAAUUGAUCAAAUUCAUCGUAACUUCUAGAAUUUAGCUUAAAGCCUCCAAAUGGUAUGUAAUAUAACAUAUUAAUCCAACAAAUGGCCUUAACAAAAUUAACAACUUAAUAACCCAAAUAUCUCAUCACAUUAUUUGGCUAUAGGACAACCAUAACAUUAAUUUACUUG
This 513-nucleotide long non-coding RNA is filed under the name Olea europaea (common olive). RNAcentral's name for it is "long non-coding RNA (OEUR_LNC015401)". Lineage: Eukaryota; Viridiplantae; Streptophyta; Magnoliopsida; Lamiales; Oleaceae. The record is from RNAcentral.